GAUGAACGCUGGCGGCGUGCCUAAUACAUGCAAGUCGAGCGAACGGACGAGAAGCUUGCUUCUCUGAUGUUAGCGGCGGACGGGUGAGUAACACGUGGAUAACCUACCUAUAAGACUGGGAUAACUUCGGGAAACCGGAGCUAAUACCGGAUAAUAUUUUGAACCGCAUGGUUCAAAAGUGAAAGACGGUCUUGCUGUCACUUAUAGAUGGAUCCGCGCUGCAUUAGCUAGUUGGUAAGGUAACGGCUUACCAAGGCAACGAUGCAUAGCCGACCUGAGAGGGUGAUCGGCCACACUGGAACUGAGACACGGUCCAGACUCCUACGGGAGGCAGCAGUAGGGAAUCUUCCGCAAUGGGCGAAAGCCUGACGGAGCAACGCCGCGUGAGUGAUGAAGGUCUUCGGAUCGUAAAACUCUGUUAUUAGGGAAGAACAUAUGUGUAAGUAACUGUGCACAUCUUGACGGUACCUAAUCAGAAAGCCACGGCUAACUACGUGCCAGCAGCCGCGGUAAUACGUAGGUGGCAAGCGUUAUCCGGAAUUAUUGGGCGUAAAGCGCGCGUAGGCGGUUUUUUAAGUCUGAUGUGAAAGCCCACGGCUCAACCGUGGAGGGUCAUUGGAAACUGGAAAACUUGAGUGCAGAAGAGGAAAGUGGAAUUCCAUGUGUAGCGGUGAAAUGCGCAGAGAUAUGGAGGAACACCAGUGGCGAAGGCGACUUUCUGGUCUGUAACUGACGCUGACGUGCGAAAGCGUGGGGAUCAAACAGGAUUAGAUACCCUGGUAGUCCACGCCGUAAACGAUGAGUGCUAAGUGUUAGGGGGUUUCCGCCCCUUAGUGCUGCAGCUAACGCAUUAAGCACUCCGCCUGGGGAGUACGACCGCAAGGUUGAAACUCAAAGGAAUUGACGGGGACCCGCACAAGCGGUGGAGCAUGUGGUUUAAUUCGAAGCAACGCGAAGAACCUUACCAAAUCUUGACAUCCUUUGACAACUCUAGAGAUAGAGCUUUCCCCUUCGGGGGACAAAGUGACAGGUGGUGCAUGGUUGUCGUCAGCUCGUGUCGUGAGAUGUUGGGUUAAGUCCCGCAACGAGCGCAACCCUUAAGCUUAGUUGCCAUCAUUAAGUUGGGCACUCUAAGUUGACUGCCGGUGACAAACCGGAGGAAGGUGGGGAUGACGUCAAAUCAUCAUGCCCCUUAUGAUUUGGGCUACACACGUGCUACAAUGGACAAUACAAAGGGCAGCGAAACCGCGAGGUCAAGCAAAUCCCAUAAAGUUGUUCUCAGUUCGGAUUGUAGUCUGCAACUCGACUACAUGAAGCUGGAAUCGCUGGUAAUCGUAGAUCAGCAUGCUACGGUGAAUACGUUCCCGGGUCU
Molecule: ribosomal RNA, 1372 nt
Filed under: uncultured bacterium
Lineage: Bacteria
Description: bacterial SSU rRNA
Rfam family: Bacterial small subunit ribosomal RNA
Source: RNAcentral